Malus domestica (apple) is the source of this 674-nucleotide long non-coding RNA. RefSeq lists it as uncharacterized. NCBI's taxonomy places the organism in Eukaryota, Viridiplantae, Streptophyta, Magnoliopsida, Rosales, Rosaceae. The record is from RefSeq and is a predicted model, not a curated record.
CGAGCCCUCUUCUCUCUUUCUUCCUCUCCUUCUUCCCUUUCCCGUAUACUUCUAUUCCUCUCUUCUCUAUGAUCACACUCACACCCAGCUGCACUCCCUGCUCGAGGAAGACACAAUCACCAUCUAAACCUCGUCCCUUUCCUCUUCCUCUUGCCUCUGCGCAACUCAGCGAAACCAAGAAAAUAACCUCCGGCGAGUCCGACGGCUUUCGAGGCCAUUACCGGCCAAACCACGGCGAGUUGGCCGGCGUGAAAGUUUCUGGCGACCUCCGAGGCUUUCGAGGAAAUUUCCGGCCAAACCACGGCGUGUUAGAUGUCGUGUGAGGGGCAAUUAUUGUGACGUUUCCGUCUUUGCUAGUGGCGCAGCUUUUGACGGCGAAGUACUGACUUAGAAUCAAGGCACCUAAUCCCGGCGUGAAGACACUUCCACAGUAGCAUCUUCGGAUCCUCUCGAUGUAGGACCCACUUCCUUAUUCAUCCAAUUUUAUCUUAAUUAUUUUUAGUGAUUAGAUUUAGUUGUAUGUUCUGAGAACGUUCCUGAAAUUAUUAAUUCUUCGUAUUUUUAAAUUUCUAACCCUUAUUUAUUUCUUAUUCUUAGCUUUUGUAUCAAUUAAUGGCUUCCGUCACCCUUGGGUGUCAGCCAGCAAGUGUCUAUCAUGGUAUUCAGGGAAUAUC